This 158-nucleotide ribosomal RNA is filed under the name Cladosporium cladosporioides. RNAcentral describes it as "5.8S ribosomal RNA". It matches the Rfam family "5.8S ribosomal RNA". Rfam says of the family: 5.8S ribosomal RNA (5.8S rRNA) is a component of the large subunit of the eukaryotic ribosome. It is transcribed by RNA polymerase I as part of the 45S precursor that also contains 18S and 28S rRNA. Lineage: Eukaryota; Fungi; Ascomycota; Dothideomycetes; Cladosporiales; Cladosporiaceae. The record is from RNAcentral. RNAcentral also lists the same sequence under 35 other names.
AAAACUUUUAACAACGGAUCUCUUGGUUCUGGCAUCGAUGAAGAACGCAGCGAAAUGCGAUAAGUAAUGUGAAUUGCAGAAUUCAGUGAAUCAUCGAAUCUUUGAACGCACAUUGCGCCCCCUGGUAUUCCGGGGGGCAUGCCUGUUCGAGCGUCAUU